RNAcentral lists this ribosomal RNA (494 nucleotides) under uncultured bacterium. RNAcentral describes it as "partial 16S ribosomal RNA". It matches the Rfam family "Bacterial small subunit ribosomal RNA", at positions 28 to 507 of the family's 1533-position model. The record is from RNAcentral.
GACGAACGCUGGCGGCGUGCUUAACACAUGCAAGUCGAACGGUGAAGCGCCUUCCUUUUUGGUGGGUGUGGAUGAGUGGCGAACGGGUGAGUAACACGUGAGUAACCUGCCCCCUUCUUCUGGAUAACCGCAUGAAAGUGUGGCUAAUACGGGAUAUUCUGGGUCUGUCGCAUGAUGGGUCUGGGAAAGAUAUUGUUUCGGUGGGGGAUGGGCUCGCGGCCUAUCAGCUUGUUGGUGGGGUGAUGGCCUACCAAGGCGGUGACGGGUAGCCGGCCUGAGAGGGUGGACGGUCACACUGGGGCUGAGCCACGGCCCGGACUCCUACGGGAGGCAGCAGUGGAGAAUAUUGCACAGUGGGCGCAAGCCUGAUGCAGCGACGCCGCGUGAGGGAUGGAGGCCUUCGGGUUGUGAACCUCUUUCGCCAGUGAAGCAGGCCUGCCUCGUUUGUGGGUGGGUUGACGGUAGCUGGAUAAGAAGCGCCGGCUAACUACGUG